Molecule: long non-coding RNA, 367 nt
Organism: Glycine soja
Lineage: Eukaryota; Viridiplantae; Streptophyta; Magnoliopsida; Fabales; Fabaceae
Exons: 2
Source: RefSeq, a predicted model, not a curated record
UAAAAAUACAUUAAGUUUAAUUUCGAAACUCCAACACAUCGAAAUGUUCUCUUAAGAAACAGAUCAAAAUUAAUUUAAGACCAAGACAAAUCAAUGCGAUAUAACGAGUAUUUACCCAAAAAUAUGGGAUAAAAUGAGUCAUGAACAUCACUAAGAAAAGGACCAUGGAUGAGAUUUGAACUUGGUGUAUGGAGAAUCUGAAUAAUUGAGAUUUCCACAAACUUUUCACCCACAAAGAAAGGAAGAGCAAGAUUAGUAAGUUUUGCUUUGCAUAAAACAGUUGAUGAGCAUGAAGCAGAUGGACUAACUUCAAGCAAUUGUAAAAUUAAUUAUAAAAAAAAAAAAAAAAAAAAAAAAAAAAAAAAAA